RNAcentral lists this signal recognition particle RNA (100 nucleotides) under Acidaminococcus intestini. RNAcentral's name for it is "signal recognition particle sRNA small type". It matches the Rfam family "Bacterial small signal recognition particle RNA". Rfam says of the family: The signal recognition particle (SRP) is a universally conserved ribonucleoprotein involved in the co-translational targeting of proteins to membranes. Archaeal SRP consists of a 7S RNA and homologues of the eukaryotic SRP19 and SRP54 proteins. The record is from RNAcentral. RNAcentral also lists the same sequence under 2 other names. Lineage: Bacteria; Bacillati; Bacillota; Negativicutes; Acidaminococcales; Acidaminococcaceae.
GGAUAGGUCCUGCGCAAUGAAGUCCUGUGAACCUUGUCAGGUCCGGAAGGAAGCAGCAAUAAGCAGACCGCUUCGUGUGCCGCAGGAGUGCCUGUUCCUG